GUGAACGCUGGCGGUAGGCCUAACACAUGCAAGUCGAACGGCAGCACAGUAAGAGCUUGCUCUUACGGGUGGCGAGUGGCGGACGGGUGAGGAAUACAUCGGAAUCUACUUUUUCGUGGGGGAUAACGUAGGGAAACUUACGCUAAUACCGCAUACGACCUACGGGUGAAAGCAGGGGAUCUUCGGACCUUGCGCGAUUGAAUGAGCCGAUGUCGGAUUAGCUAGUUGGCGGGGUAAAGGCCCACCAAGGCGACGAUCCGUAGCUGAUCUGAGAGGAUGAUCGGCCACACUGGAACUGAGACACGGUCCAGACUCCUACGGGAGGCAGCAGUGGGGAAUAUUGGACAAUGGGCGCAAGCCUGAUCCAGCCAUACCGCGUGGGUGAAGAAGGCCUUCGGGUUGUAAAGCCCUUUUGUUGGGAAAGAAAAGCAGCAGGUUAAUACCCCGCUGUUCUGACGGUACCCAAAGAAUAAGCACCGGCUAACUUCGUG
This 491-nucleotide ribosomal RNA is filed under the name uncultured bacterium. RNAcentral's name for it is "partial 16S ribosomal RNA". It matches the Rfam family "Bacterial small subunit ribosomal RNA", at positions 29 to 507 of the family's 1533-position model. The record is from RNAcentral.